CAGCCGCCGCGGGAAUACAGAGGGUGCAAGCGUUAAUCGGAAUUACUGGGCGUAAAGCGCGCGUAGGUGGUUCGUUAAGUUGGAUGUGAAAUCCCCGGGCUCAACCUGGGAACUGCAUCCAAAACUGGCGAGCUAGAGUAGGGCAGAGGGUGGUGGAAUUUCCUGUGUAGCGGUGAAAUGCGUAGAUAUAGGAAGGAACACCAGUGGCGAAGGCGACCACCUGGGCUCAUACUGACACUGAGGUGCGAAAGCGUGGGGAGCAAACAGGAUUAGAUACCCCGGUAGUCCCUGUCUCUUAUAU
RNAcentral lists this ribosomal RNA (301 nucleotides) under uncultured bacterium. Its description in RNAcentral is "partial 16S ribosomal RNA". It matches the Rfam family "Bacterial small subunit ribosomal RNA", at positions 509 to 809 of the family's 1533-position model. The record is from RNAcentral.